RNAcentral lists this transfer RNA (72 nucleotides) under Loxodonta africana (African savanna elephant). It matches the Rfam family "tRNA". From Rfam's summary of the family: Transfer RNA (tRNA) molecules are approximately 80 nucleotides in length. The record is from Rfam by way of RNAcentral. Lineage: Eukaryota; Metazoa; Chordata; Mammalia; Proboscidea; Elephantidae.
GCCCUGGUGGCACAACAGUUAAGCGUAUGGCUGCUAACCAAAAAGUUGGUGGUUUAAACCCAUCCAGUGGCU